Molecule: ribosomal RNA, 253 nt
Filed under: uncultured bacterium
Lineage: Bacteria
Description: partial 16S ribosomal RNA
Rfam family: Bacterial small subunit ribosomal RNA
Source: RNAcentral
UACGUAGGGUGCAGGCGUUAAUCGGAAUUACUGGGCGUAAAGCGGGCGCAGGCGGUUUGCUAAGAGAGAUGUGAAAUCCCCGGGCUUAACCUGGGAACUGCGUUUCUAACUGGCAGGCUUGAGUGUGGCAGAGGGGGGUGGAAUUCCACGUGUAGCAGUGAAAUGCGUAGAGAUGUGGAGGAACACCGAUGGCGAAGGCAGCCCCCUGGGCUAACACUGACGCUCAUGCACGAAAGCGUGGGGAGCAAACAGG